GAGCAAAUUUGUCAUAGACAUUUAGCAUCUGUUAUUGAAAACAAGUUUAAUGAAACAGGGCCCUGCUGUACAAUGUGUGCCCUUCUGGCCUUAAGAUAGCAUUGUUUACAAUUAGAAUUCAUCAGAAAUAACUUUUUAUUACCAGUGAAGUGACGUUGUACUAUCGUAGUAACAAAUAUUUGAAUGAUAUUACCAAUGCACAGUCACAUGCAUUAUUGGCAUGUUAUGGUGCAUAUUAUACAAUGAGGGCCUGCGAAUGAAGAGCAAAGUGUCAGAGAGUCUGGAACAUUUUCAGUGGUCACAGUGUGGACAUACUGUGCUCACAUUAUAUACAUGUGAAGAUAUAGUUUUCACAGUGUGUAUAUCACACAUUGUAUUCGCAGUGUGUGUAUAGUGUUCACAGUGUGCAUGUACACACUGUGUUUACAGUGAGUUCAUUGUGUGUAUGUACACACUGUAUACAUUGGGUUCACAGUGUGUAUGUAAAUACUGUGUUCACAUUGAGUUCAUUGUGUGUAUGUACACACUGUCUACACAGUUGGUUCUUAGUAUGUAUGUACACACUGUGUGUACAAUGGGUUCAUGGCGUGUGUACACAAUGUUUUCACAGUGGGUCCACAGUGUGUACAUAUUGCAGUAAAACCAGUAAAAUGAAAAGUGCGAGUGUUAACACACUGCUUACACUGUGGCAUGCUAUGGUCUUCAUGAUAAGACUACUUAUGUAGCACUUGCAUAGAGGGUGUGAAUGAGAAGUGGGAACAUGCCUACACAGUACCAUUUAUAGAUGACAUUCAUUAUUGGUGAUGAUGUGCAAAAGUGGCGUCUCAGAGUUUGAGGUAUCAACGACAUAUUUUGAGAGCCGAGUUGAUAUACCUGCCAUAUGAGAUGAUGAUUAUUCAGUGAUGUUUUAAUGGAUGACUACAUACAAACAUAAUUGUGAAUUUACAUAUUCCUCAAUGUAACUAUUGUCCAAUAAAAUAUAAAAUCAAAA
Strongylocentrotus purpuratus (purple sea urchin) is the source of this 991-nucleotide long non-coding RNA. RefSeq lists it as uncharacterized. The record is from RefSeq and is a predicted model, not a curated record. Lineage: Eukaryota; Metazoa; Echinodermata; Echinoidea; Camarodonta; Strongylocentrotidae. The transcript has 2 exons.